GAUUAGGAUUUCUACAUUUAGAACGAUUAUGACCACUCUGAUCAGAUCGGCUACAUUUGUAAACACGCACAUCUUGAAAUUAUAUUACUGGAAAGUAUUU
This is a non-coding RNA of Arachis ipaensis, 100 nucleotides long. Lineage: Eukaryota; Viridiplantae; Streptophyta; Magnoliopsida; Fabales; Fabaceae. The record is from RefSeq and is a predicted model, not a curated record.